UACGGAGGGGACUAGCGUUGUUCGGAAUUACUGGGCGUAAAGCGCACGUAGGCGGAUUUGUAAGUCAGGGGUGAAAUCCCGGGGCUCAACCUCGGAACUGCCUUUGAUACUGCAAAUCUCGAGUCCGGAAGAGGUGAAUGGAAUUCCUAGUGUAGAGGUGAAAUUCGUAGAUAUUAGGAAGAACACCCGUGGCGAAAGCGGCUCUCUGGAACGGUACUGACGCUGAGACGCGAAAGCGUGGGGAGCGAACAGG
RNAcentral lists this ribosomal RNA (253 nucleotides) under uncultured bacterium. RNAcentral describes it as "partial 16S ribosomal RNA". It matches the Rfam family "Bacterial small subunit ribosomal RNA", at positions 524 to 776 of the family's 1533-position model. The record is from RNAcentral.